GAUGAACGCUGGCGGCGUGCCUAAUACAUGCAAGUCGAGCGAACGGACGAGAAUUUUGCUUCUCUGAUGUUAGCGGCGGACGGGUGAGUAACACGUGGAUAACCUAUCUAUAAGACUGGGAUAACUUCGAGAAACCGGAGCUAAUACCGGAUAAUAUUUUGAACCGCAUGGUUCAAAAGUGAAUGACGGUCUUGCUGUCACUUAUAGAUGGAUCGGCGCUGCAUUAGCUAGUUGGUAAGGGAACGGCUUACUAAGGCAACGAUGCAUAGCCGACCUGAGAGGGUGAGCGGCGACACUGGAACUGAGACACGGUCCAGACUCCGACGGGAGGGGGCAGUAGGGAAGCUGACGAAAUGGGCGAAGGCCUGACGGAGAAACGGCGAGUGAGUGAUGAAGGUGUUCGGAUCGUAGAACUAUGCUACUAGGGAAGAACAGAUGUGUAAGUGACUGUGAACAUCGUGACGGUAGCUGAACAGAAAGCCACGGCUAACUACGUG
Molecule: ribosomal RNA, 497 nt
Filed under: uncultured bacterium
Lineage: Bacteria
Description: partial 16S ribosomal RNA
Rfam family: Bacterial small subunit ribosomal RNA
Source: RNAcentral